Molecule: ribosomal RNA, 274 nt
Filed under: uncultured bacterium
Lineage: Bacteria
Description: partial 16S ribosomal RNA
Rfam family: Bacterial small subunit ribosomal RNA
Source: RNAcentral
AUACGGAGGAUGCAAGCGUUAUCCGGAUUUAUUGGGUUUAAAGGGUGUGUAGGCGGUGUAUUAAGUCAGUGGUGAAAGCCUGCGGCUCAACCGUAGAACUGCCAUUGAUACUGACACACUUGAGUAUGGACGAGGUAGGCGGAAUUUAUGGUGUAGCGGUGAAAUGCAUAGAUACCAUAAAGAACACCGAUAGCGAAGGCAGCUUACUAGGCCAUAACUGACGCUGAGGCACGAAAGCGUGGGGAGCGAACAGGAUUAGAAACCCCAGUAGUCC